AACGCUGAAGAGAGGAGCUGUCUCUUCUUGGAUGAGUUGCGAACGGGUGAGUAACGCGUAGGUAACCUGCCUGGUAGCGGGGGAUAACUAUUGGAAACGAUAGCUAAUACCGCAUAAAAUGGAUUAUCGCAUGAUAAUCCAUUGAAAGGUGCAAAUGCAUCACUACCAGAUGGACCUGCGUUGUAUUAGCUAGUUGGUGGGGUAACGGCUCACCAAGGCGACGAUACAUAGCCGACCUGAGAGGGUGAUCGGCCACACUGGGACUGAGACACGGCCCAGACUCCUACGGGAGGCAGCAGUAGGGAAUCUUCGGCAAUGGACGGAAGUCUGACCGGGCAACGCCGCGUGAGUGAAGAAGGUUUUCGGAUCGUAAAGCUCUGUUGUAAGAGAAGAACGAGUGUGAGAGUGGAAAGUUCACACUGUGACGGUAUCUUACCAGAAAGGGACGGCUAACUACGUGCCAGCAGCCGCGGUAAUACGUAGGUCCCGAGCGUUGUCCGGAUUUAUUGGGCGUAAAGCGAGCGCAGGCGGUUAGAUAAGUCUGAAGUUAAAGGCUGUGGCUUAACCAUAGUACGCUUUGGAAACUGUUUAACUUGAGUGCAAGAGGGGAGAGUGGAAUUCCAUGUGUAGCGGUGAAAUGCGUAGAUAUAUGGAGGAA
RNAcentral lists this ribosomal RNA (658 nucleotides) under uncultured Bacilli bacterium. Its description in RNAcentral is "bacterial SSU rRNA". It matches the Rfam family "Bacterial small subunit ribosomal RNA", at positions 65 to 706 of the family's 1533-position model. The record is from RNAcentral. Lineage: Bacteria; Bacillati; Bacillota; Bacilli.